Molecule: ribosomal RNA, 354 nt
Filed under: Triticum aestivum (bread wheat)
Lineage: Eukaryota; Viridiplantae; Streptophyta; Magnoliopsida; Poales; Poaceae
Description: partial small subunit ribosomal RNA
Source: RNAcentral
AUGAAGCACGUGGAUUUUCUCAGGUCUCAUGACAUUCGUUUGAAGACAGUAACGCUGGAACGAUAUUCAUCCAACAAUGCAAACACUAGCUUUGUCAGAUUCUUUAUGUUGAAUGUGAGGGCUCUAUUGCCCGUGCGGAUUAAGUUUUUUAACAAGAAAUUACUCACGGCUGCAAGUGUUGAAGAGCAUAAAAAGAAGUUUCAGGUGGACCUAAGGGCUUCUGAUCGUGUUCGGCUUCUAUUUACAAUAGCAUGUGGUCAUCAUGGAGCAGUAGAAUUAUUGUAUUGGGAUCUUAAUUUUAUGGAUCAUAUUGAUCCAUUGGAUUGUAACUGUCGAAAACUUUGGUUGAGUUAG